Molecule: ribosomal RNA, 460 nt
Filed under: uncultured bacterium
Lineage: Bacteria
Description: partial 16S ribosomal RNA
Rfam family: Bacterial small subunit ribosomal RNA
Source: RNAcentral
CCUACGGGAGGCAGCAGUGAGGAAUAUUGGUCAAUGGGCGCGAGCCUGAUCCAGCCACGUCGCGUGAGGGAUGAAUGCCCUACGGGUUGUAAACUUCGUUUAUAAAGGAAUAAAGUGAGGCACGUGUGCAUUAUUGUAUGUACUUUAUGAAUAAGGCUCGGCUAACUACGUGCCAGCAGCAGCGGUAAUACGGAGGAGCCGAGCGUUAUCCGGAUUUAUUGGGUGUAACGGGAGCGUAGAUGGGUUGUUAAGUCAGUUGUGAAAGUUUGCGGCUCAACCGUAAAAUUGCAAUUGAUACUGGCAGUCUUGAGUGCAGUUGAGGUAGGCGGAAUUCGUGGUGUAGCGGUGAAAUGCUUAGAUAUCACGAAGAACACCGAUUGCGAAGGCAGCUUACUAAACUGCCACUGACAUUGAGGCUCGAAAGUGUGGGUAUCAAACAGGAUUAGAUACCCUAGUAGUC